UACAGAGAGUGCAAGCGUUAAUCGGAAUUACUGGGCGUAAAGCGCGCGUAGGUGGAUAUGUAAGUCGGAUGUGAAAGCCCCAGGCUUAACCUGGGAAUUGCACCCGAUACUGCGUAUCUUGAGUAUGGUAGAGGGAAGUGGAAUUUCCGGUGUAGCGGUGAAAUGCGUAGAUAUCGGAAGGAACACCAGUGGCGAAGGCGACUUCCUGGACCAAUACUGACACUGAGGCGCGAAAGCGUGGGGAGCAAACAGG
RNAcentral lists this ribosomal RNA (253 nucleotides) under uncultured bacterium. Its description in RNAcentral is "partial 16S ribosomal RNA". It matches the Rfam family "Bacterial small subunit ribosomal RNA", at positions 524 to 776 of the family's 1533-position model. The record is from RNAcentral.